CCUACGGGUGGCAGCAGUGGGGGAUAUUGCACAAUGGGGGAAACCCUGAUGCAGCGAAGCCGCGUGAGUGAAGAAGGAUUUAGGUAUGUAAAGCUCUAUCAGCAGGGAAGAAAAUGACAGUACCUGACCAAGAAGCCCCGGCUAACUACGUGCCAGCAGCCGCGGUAAUACGUAGGGGGCAAGCGUUAUCCGGAUUUAUUGGGUUUAAAGGGUGCGUAGGAGGAAGGUUAAGUCAGCGGUAAAAUGUCGGUGCUCAACAGCGGCCUGCCGUUGAAACUGGUCUUCUUGAGUGAGCGAGAAGUAUGCGGAAUGCGUGGUGUAGCGGUGAAAUGCAUAGAUAUCACGCAGAACUCCGAUUGCGAAGGCAGCAUACCGGCGCUCAACUGACGCUGAGGCACGAAAGCGUGGGGAUCGAACAGGAUUAGAUACCCUUGUAGUC
RNAcentral lists this ribosomal RNA (439 nucleotides) under uncultured bacterium. RNAcentral describes it as "partial 16S ribosomal RNA". It matches the Rfam family "Bacterial small subunit ribosomal RNA", at positions 338 to 795 of the family's 1533-position model. The record is from RNAcentral.